This 119-nucleotide ribosomal RNA is filed under the name Chinchilla lanigera (long-tailed chinchilla). Lineage: Eukaryota; Metazoa; Chordata; Mammalia; Rodentia; Chinchillidae. The record is from RNAcentral.
GUCUACGGCCAUACCACCCUGAAUGCGCCCCAUCUUGUCUGAUCUCAGAAGUUAAGCAGGGUCAGGCCUGAUUAGUACUUAGAUGGGAGAAAUGCAUUUAUUAAAUUUUAUUAUAGACA